Molecule: ribosomal RNA, 393 nt
Filed under: uncultured bacterium
Lineage: Bacteria
Description: partial 16S ribosomal RNA
Rfam family: Bacterial small subunit ribosomal RNA
Source: RNAcentral
AUACGUAGGUGACAAGCGUUAUCCGGAUUUACUGGGCGUAAAGGGCGUGUAGGCGGUCUUGCAAGUCAGAAGUGAAAUUCCUGAGCUCAACUCGGGCGCUGCUUCUGAAACUGCAGGACUUGAGUGCUGGAGGGGAUAGCGGAAUUCCUAGUGGAGCGGUAAAAUGCGCAGAUAUUAGGAAGAACACCGGUGGCGAAGGCGGCUAUCUGGACAGUAACUGACGCUGAGGCGCGAAAGCGUGGGGAGCAAACAGGAUUAGAUACCCUGGUAGUCCGCACAGUAAACGAUGGACACUCGUGGUCGGCGACACACUGCCGGUCGCCAAGCGAAAGCGAUAAGUGUCCCUCCUGGGGAGUACGCCGGCAACGGUGAAACUCAAAUGAAUUGACGGGG